UAGAUUUUUGGUCAAGCUACAAAGGGCGUACGGUGAAUGCCUUGGCACAAGAAGGCGAUGAAGGACGUGAUAAGCUGCGAUAAGCUUCGGGGAGGUGCAAAUAACCUUUGAUCCGGGGAUUUCCGAAUGGGGCAACCCAAUGCAGGUCAUGCUGCAUUACCCUCGAGUGAACACAUAGCUCGAGCGGGGCGAACGGGGGGAACUGAACCAUCUAAGUACCCCUAGGAAAAGAAAGCAACCGCGAUUCCCCUAGUAGUGGCGAACGAACGGGGAACAGCCCAAACUGCCUGUAUGUUAAAGCGAGCACGCGUUGUACGGGCGGGGUUGUGGGACGUCAUUUGGCGAGGGUGCUAACUUGCCGGGAAGUUACCAAUCAACACCAUAGUCGAAGUGUUCUGGAAAGUUCAACCAUAGAAGGUGAUAGUCCUGUAGACGAAAUGGUAGUUGACUUCCUUAUGAUGUUCCCGAGUACCACGGGACACGUGAAACCCUGUGGGAAGCUGGGGAGACCACUCUCCAAGGCUAAAUACUCUCUUGUGACCGAUAGCGCACUAGUACCGGUGAGGGAAAGGUGAAAAGUACUCCGAGAAGGAGAGUGAAAUAGUACCUGAAACCGUACGCUUACAAGCAGUCGGAGGGGACUUGUUCCCUGACGGCGUGCCUUUUGCAUAAUGAGCCGGCGAGUUACUUGUAUGCAGCGAGGUUAAUUCACUAAGUGAAGGAGCCGUAGCGAAAGCGAGUCUGAAUAGGGCGUUCAGUUGCAUGCAGUAGACCCGAAGCCAGGUGAUCUACCCAUGGCCAGGAUGAAACGUGAGUAAAAUCACGCGGAGGUCCGAACCGGUGUACGUUGAAAAGUGCUCGGAUGAGCUGUGGGUAGGGGUGAAAGGCCAAUCAAACCUGGAGAUAGCUGGUUCUCCCCGAAAUAGCUUUAGGGCUAGCCUCUUGUUAAAGAGUCGUGGAGGUAGAGCACUGGAUCGGUAAGGGGGCUCACCAGCUUACUUAGCCGAACCAAACUCCGAAUGCCAUUGACUUGUUCCAAGGGAGUCAGCGUGCGAGGGAUAAACUCCGUACGCGAGAGGGAAACAACCCAGAUCGCCAGCUAAGGUCCCUAAGUGUAUGCUAAGUGAUUUAAAGGAUGUGAGAUUGCGCAGACAGCUAGGAUGUUGGCUUAGAAACAGCCACCAUUUAAAGAGUACGUAAUAGUUCACUAGUCAAGUGAUUUUGCGCCGACAAUGUAUCGGGGCUAAGCAUACCACCGAAGCUGCGGACUCAGUAAUGCGUUCGCGUAUUACUGAUUGGUAGGGGAGCGUUCCAUAGUAGGUCGAAGGUGAACCGUAAGGUUUGCUGGACGAGAUGGAAGUGAUUAUGUCGGCAUGAGUAGCGAUAAAGCGGGUGAGAAUCCCGCUCACCGAAAAUCUAAGGUUUCCUGGGCUAGGCUCGUCCUCCUGGGGUUAGUCGGGACCUAAGCUGA
Molecule: ribosomal RNA, 1471 nt
Filed under: Gemmatimonadota bacterium
Lineage: Bacteria; Pseudomonadati; Gemmatimonadota
Description: Gemmatimonadetes bacterium (marine metagenome) partial 23S ribosomal RNA
Rfam family: Bacterial large subunit ribosomal RNA
Source: RNAcentral